GAUGAACGCUGGCGGCGUGCUUAACACAUGCAAGUCGAACGGAAAGGCCUCUGCUUGCAGGGGUACUCGAGUGGCGAACGGGUGAGUAACACGUGGGUGAUCUGCCCUGCACUUCGGGAUAAGCCUGGGAAACUGGGUCUAAUACCGGAUAGGACAAUGGUUUGGAUGCUGUUGUGGAAAGUUUUUCGGUGUGGGAUGAGCUCGCGGCCUAUCAGCUUGUUGGUGGGGUAAUGGCCUACCAAGGCGUCGACGGGUAGCCGGCCUGAGAGGGUGUACGGCCACAUUGGGACUGAGAUACGGCCCAGACUCCUACGGGAGGCAGCAGUGGGGAAUAUUGCACAAUGGGCGCAAGCCUGAUGCAGCGACGCAGCGUGGGGGAUGACGGCCUUCGGGUUGUAAACUCCUUUCGCUAGGGACGAAGCGUUUUUGUGACGGUACCUGGAGAAGAAGCACCGGCUAACUACGUG
RNAcentral lists this ribosomal RNA (467 nucleotides) under uncultured bacterium. RNAcentral describes it as "partial 16S ribosomal RNA". It matches the Rfam family "Bacterial small subunit ribosomal RNA", at positions 28 to 507 of the family's 1533-position model. The record is from RNAcentral.